UGAGUAACGCGUAAUCAACCUGCCCUUCAGAGCCUGACAACAGUUGGAAACGACUGCUAAUACCGCAUACGAUCCAAUCUCGGCAUCGAGACUGGAUGAAAGGUGGCCUCUAUUUAUAAGCUAUCACUGAAGGAGGGGAUUGCGUCUGAUUAGCUAGUUGGAGGGGUAACGGCCCACCAAGGCGAUGAUCAGUAGCCGGUCUGAGAGGAUGAACGGCCACAUUGGGACUGAGACACGGCCCAGACUCCUACGGGAGGCAGCAGUGGGGAAUCUUCCGCAAUGGACGAAAGUCUGACGGAGCAACGCCGCGUGAGUGAUGACGGCCUUCGGGUUGUAAAGCUCUGUUAAUCGGGACGAAUGGUUCUUGUGUGAAUAGUGCGAGGAUUUGACGGUACCGGAAUAGAAAGCCACGGCUAACUACGUGCCAGCAGCCGCGGUAAUACGUAGGUGGCAAGCGUUGUCCGGAAUUAUUGGGCGUAAAGCGCGCGCAGGCGGAUUGGUCAGUCUGUCUUAAAAGUUCGGGGCUUAACCCCGUGAUGGGAUGGAAACUGCCAAUCUAGAGUAUCGGAGAGGAAAGUGGAAUUCCUAGUGUAGCGGUGAAAUGCGUAGAUAUUAGGAAGAACACCAGUGGCGAAGGCGACUUUCUG
RNAcentral lists this ribosomal RNA (647 nucleotides) under uncultured bacterium. RNAcentral describes it as "bacterial SSU rRNA". It matches the Rfam family "Bacterial small subunit ribosomal RNA", at positions 107 to 731 of the family's 1533-position model. The record is from RNAcentral.